Molecule: ribosomal RNA, 1265 nt
Filed under: Coturnix coturnix (Common quail)
Lineage: Eukaryota; Metazoa; Chordata; Aves; Galliformes; Phasianidae
Description: partial 16S ribosomal RNA
Rfam family: Bacterial large subunit ribosomal RNA
Source: RNAcentral
CAUGAUUUAGCAAGAACAACCAAGCAAAGCGGACUAAAGCUUGCCCCCCCGAAACCCAAGCGAGCUACUUGCGAGCAGCUAGAAUUGAGCGAACCCGUCUCUGUCGCAAAAGAGUGGGAUGACUUGCUAGUAGAGGUGAAAAGCCAACCGAGCUGGGUGAUAGCUGGUUACCUGCCAAAUGAAUCUAAGUUCUCCCUUAAGUAAAGAUUAAGAGUAAUUCGACGGAGGUACAGCUCCAUCGAAAAAGAAUACAACCUCCUCCAGCGGAUAAGUAGGCCUUCAAGCAGCCACCAACAAAAGAGUGCGUCAAAGCUCCCCUACUAAAAAUCCAAAUACUAAUCUGACUCCCUCACCUAAAGCAGGUCAACCUAUGACAAUAGAAGAAUUAAUGCUAAAAUGAGUAACUUGGUCUACAGCGCAAACUUACAUUAACACAUUAUUAACAGCCACAACAAGAACUCGUAUCUGUUAAACCAACUCAGGAGCGCCCACAAGAUGAUUAAAAUCCGCAAAAGGAACUCGGCAAAUCAAAGACCCGACUGUUUCCCAAAAACAUAGCCUUCAGCAACCAACAAGUAUUGAAGGUGACGCCUGCCCAGUGACCAGCAACGUUCAACGGCCGCGGUAUCCUAACCGUGCGAAGGUAGCGCAAUCAAUUGUGCCAUAAAUUGAGACUUGUAUGAAUGGCUAAACGAGGUCUUAACUGCCUCCUGCAGAUAAUCAGUGAAAUUAGUAUCCUCGUGCAAAAACGAGAAUGUGACCAUAAGACGAGAAGACCCUGUGGAACUUUAAAAUCACGACCGGGCAUGGUCGACAUUUUUCGGUUGGGGCGACCUUGGAGAAAAACAAAACCUCCAAAUUUAUAGACCACACCUCUUAACUAAGAUCAACCCAUCAAAGUCCUAAUAGUAAUUAGACCCAAUAUAAUUGAUUAAUGAACCAAGUUACCCCAGGGAUAACAGCGCAAUCUCCUCCAAGAGCCCCUAUCGACAAGGAGGUUUACGACCUCGAUGUUGGAUCAGGACAACCUAAUGGUGCAGCCGCUAUUAAGGGUUCGUUUGUUCAACGAUUAACAGUCCUACGUGAUCUGAGUUCAGACCGGAGCAAUCCAGGUCGGUUUCUAUCUAUGAAUAAACUCCUCCCAGUACGAAAGGACCGGAGAAGUAGGGUCAAUACUACAAGCACACCCUAGCCUUCCAAGCAAUGAACUCAACUUAAUUGCCUAGAAAAGGAACAGCUAGCGUGGCAGAGCUUGGCAAAUGCAA